AGCUAAACAGCUAGCCUCU
RNAcentral lists this ribosomal RNA (19 nucleotides) under Xenodexia ctenolepis. RNAcentral's name for it is "partial 16S ribosomal RNA". Lineage: Eukaryota; Metazoa; Chordata; Actinopteri; Cyprinodontiformes; Poeciliidae. The record is from RNAcentral.